AUGCAAGUCGAGGGGUAACAGGGAGCUUGCUCCGCUGACGACCGGCGCACGGGUGCGGAACACGUAAGAAUCUGCCCCUCGGUCGGGGACAACUCUUGGAAACGAGAGCUAAUACCCGAUACGCUGUGGAGUGAAAGAAUUUCGCCGAGGGAUGAUCUUGCGUCUGAUUAGCUAGUUGGUGUGGUAACUGCACACCAAGGCGACGAUCAGUAGCUGGUCUGAGAGGAUGGACAGCCACAUUGGAACUGAGACACGGUCCAAACUCC
RNAcentral lists this ribosomal RNA (266 nucleotides) under unidentified marine bacterioplankton. Its description in RNAcentral is "partial 16S ribosomal RNA". It matches the Rfam family "Bacterial small subunit ribosomal RNA", at positions 55 to 339 of the family's 1533-position model. The record is from RNAcentral.